This 146-nucleotide non-coding RNA is filed under the name chicken gut metagenome. Its description in RNAcentral is "FMN riboswitch (RFN element)". It matches the Rfam family "FMN riboswitch aptamer (RFN element)". Rfam says of the family: The RFN element is a highly conserved domain that is found frequently in the 5'-untranslated regions of prokaryotic mRNAs that encode for flavin mononucleotide (FMN) biosynthesis and transport proteins. The record is from RNAcentral.
GUUUCAGGGUUGGGUGUAAUUCCCUACCGGCGGUAACUGAUGUGCGCAGGCGCGCUGAGGCGCAGCGGCAUCAGAAGCCCGCGACCCGCGUAAGCGGCUGACCCGGUGAGAGUCCGGGGCCGACGGUACAGUCCGGAUGGAAGAAA